AUCUAAAAUUCAUGAAUUUUUGACUCCUAUUUGAUAGCAUAUGGGGCGGCAACCUUUUAUAUGGUAGACUAGGUCAUAAAACCUAGUCUAACAAGGAGUCCAUGGGGCAUCCAACUCUUGGACGCCCCCUCCCUCCUAAAUUUCAUGGAGAGCAUGAAAAUAACCUCAAAAGGGGUGACAAAAAGAAGGGAUAAGGAUGGAGGAAGUUGGCACAUGAGAAG
This 221-nucleotide long non-coding RNA is filed under the name Elaeis guineensis (African oil palm). RNAcentral describes it as "long non-coding RNA (EGUI_LNC081525)". The record is from RNAcentral. Lineage: Eukaryota; Viridiplantae; Streptophyta; Magnoliopsida; Arecales; Arecaceae.